GGGAGCGGAUUCCAGAAUGGGGGGUGAACCGGGGCCUCCUAAGCCCCAGGCCGCCGGUUCGAUUCCGGCCGGGCGCGCCA
RNAcentral lists this transfer RNA (80 nucleotides) under Bacillota bacterium. RNAcentral's name for it is "Firmicutes bacterium (sediment metagenome) tRNA-Arg". Lineage: Bacteria; Bacillati; Bacillota. The record is from RNAcentral.